CCGUGAUCCCACAUGUGGGGACAUUGUGAGAUUUUUGAUAAUUUUUUGGUAAGUCUCAUGUUGGUACAAUAAUUUGGCUUCCUGUUUUGUGCAGGAUUUGGAAAUGAAAGUGGCAUUCUAUAGUUGAAAGAAGUUUUGUCAUCAGUGAUUUGGGUUUAAAUCCGACUCUGAGUAGCAGUGUAACUCUGGGCAGCUCUAUCAAGAUUUUGGACAGAGUAUGUCAGAAUCAUGUCUAUAAGAUUCAGUGUGGACUAAUGCAAAGUGAGCCUGGACUGGAAGUCAGAAGAACUGGAUACAAGUUCUAAUGUUAUCUGAGAGCAGGCCUCUGUUAAUAGGUCUUGUUACCGUGGCAGAGACAACGGGAAAAUAUAGGCUAAUCAGAAGCAUUGUGCACAACAAUGAAACCUUGCAACUCUAUGUAUAUUGACGUGUGUGGGCGGGGGGGCAUAUCAGGUUACUCAAGAUGGCUAAAACUGACUGAAUCAGUAACCUCUAAUCUGUAAAAAACAGCAGACUCCCUAUAAUUCCUUAAAAUAAAUGUGGGUUUGAGAGACUCUCCCUGAGAUAAAUAAUACCCUGACCAGACUUCACAGAUCUAACACUAUGCUGGUAAUUCUGUGUUGACAUAUCUUGAAGAAAUGUUCAUUAGGUCCUGAGAAGCAAAGGCAGGGAAGAGGUCCCUGGAGUUUACUAGCUUGUGCCAGAUCAUCAGGUAAAGAUAGGAAAAUUAUUUGGCUGAAAAGAUUUUUGAAAAAGGGACAGUGAAAUGCUCUUGAGGUAAAUCCAGGUAAUGAAAAGAUCAGGAAAAAUUGACCCUGAAGAAAAAGAAUUAAGGCGAUAUGGCGACUUCUGGAAAAGAUAAAGCUACCAAAUACCUCUGUGUGGAGAUGGCUACCAAGAACAUAGGCAUUGAAUGGUGGCAUCUGAGUGAGUGGCCCACUUUGUUGGAGUUGCCCUCAGGUGAGGUAAGUUCAUGUCUUGUCUCUCUCCUUGAUCUUUAUAUAAUCCCCUGGCGCUUUACACUGACUCCACGACUUCCUAAUUGUGGCUUCUUGGCAAGUUCCUUAGCCUCUCUAAG
RNAcentral lists this long non-coding RNA (1078 nucleotides) under Equus asinus (donkey). RNAcentral describes it as "lncRNA (ENSEASG00005032898.1)". The record is from RNAcentral. Lineage: Eukaryota; Metazoa; Chordata; Mammalia; Perissodactyla; Equidae.